This 253-nucleotide ribosomal RNA is filed under the name uncultured bacterium. Its description in RNAcentral is "partial 16S ribosomal RNA". It matches the Rfam family "Bacterial small subunit ribosomal RNA", at positions 524 to 776 of the family's 1533-position model. The record is from RNAcentral.
UACGUAGGGGGCAAGCGUUGUCCGGAAUCAUUGGGCGUAAAGAGCGCGUAGGCGGCCCUGUAAGUCCGCUGUGAAAGUCAAGGGCUCAACCCUUGGAUGCCGGUGGAUACUGCAGGGCUAGAGUCCGGAAGAGGAGAGUGGAAUUCCUGGUGUAGCGGUGAAAUGCGCAGAUAUCAGGAAGAACACCCGUGGCGAAGGCGGCUCUCUGGGACGGUACUGACGCUGAGACGCGAAAGCGUGGGGAGCGAACAGG